GUUAACUAUGAAGUAAAUCUGCGAACAUCACAGCAGGAAAGAAUAGCCCCAGCCCAGGCGGCAGGAAAUGAUGGCAGCUGCUGGGAAGGGGGCAGGUACAGUGGCGGCGGCUGCACUGCCCACGCGGGAGCGGUGAAAGGAGCGCCCAGGUAUCUGUGGCAAAACAAAGUAGAAAAGUUUUCCAUCUUACAACCUCUGCAGUUUGGAGCUACAGAAGUGUGAGACCUUGCAUACACCAAGGUGAAUCUAUAGCUAAGAAGAAACAUAAAGAAGUUCAUUAUACCAUGUUUAUAAACAAAAAGAAACCUGAUAUGUUUUGUCCAGAAAACAGAGAAGCAAAGAAAUGAAGAGAGUUUUGAAUGACAUUUGGGGACCACAUUGCACAGCAGGAGUCCGGAUCCUAUAGAGAAGGUAGCCAGAAAUUCCUGGGAAGUAGGACAAAAAGUACUUAUUUAAUAAAUGGAGAUAUAACAUUCAAUGAAACAAUCUUGGAGAAAACAAAAGCCUGGAAGAGCAAAUUUUCCAUCAUUUCAGACCACCUGAAUAUAUGUCUUCUGAUGCAAGUAUGUGUUUUACUGCUAUUAAUGAACAAAAAUGGAGUACGAAACAUAAUAGUAUAUGUAUCUACCAUG
Choloepus didactylus (southern two-toed sloth) is the source of this 632-nucleotide long non-coding RNA. RefSeq lists it as uncharacterized. The record is from RefSeq and is a predicted model, not a curated record. The transcript has 3 exons. Lineage: Eukaryota; Metazoa; Chordata; Mammalia; Pilosa; Megalonychidae.